RNAcentral lists this long non-coding RNA (490 nucleotides) under Mustela putorius furo (domestic ferret). RNAcentral describes it as "lncRNA (ENSMPUG00000026519.1)". Lineage: Eukaryota; Metazoa; Chordata; Mammalia; Carnivora; Mustelidae. The record is from RNAcentral.
GGCGAACCCCAUGACUGUCACCUCUCCAGGACCGGACCCACAGCUGAACCCAGUAUGGAGGAUGAGAAAGGACAAGUACUCUAAAACACCAACCUGAGUGCAGGGCUGGGGGUCUCCUUUCAACUUUACUCGGAAAAUCUUCCAGAUGAAGAAACCAAGCGUAAGAUCGAAGCAACUCUCCCCGAUUUGACAUCCUCAAAAAAUACGAACUUCUCUCCACAAUUUUACCAAGUGAAAAAAACGUUCACUUGGCCUUUGACUAUUGCUGAAACAGGUACUCUGGGAUUUUCAAGAGUGGUUUUCAGAGGAGAUGGAGAGAUGGACCCUCUUGUGCUUGCCAAGGCACCUGAGCAUUUGGAGGUUUUCCUUCUGGUUUUGUGCAGGUUUUAUUUUUUUCCCCCGUGCUCAUUCAUCACCAUGGAUGCUAUGCUUGGAGAGCAAGGGGUUUCGGUUGCAAAACUUGCUUCCUGUUAAUUCUUCUACUCCUGAA